Long non-coding RNA from Ostrinia furnacalis (Asian corn borer), 121 nucleotides. RefSeq lists it as uncharacterized. The transcript has 3 exons. The record is from RefSeq and is a predicted model, not a curated record. Lineage: Eukaryota; Metazoa; Arthropoda; Insecta; Lepidoptera; Crambidae.
CAUACCCAGCUCCAAUAGUGAUUCCAGUACCGAACCGUCCCAACCUACGUAAUCCGUACCCAUGCAAUACCGAUUCUGACUGUAGCCGUCAUUGUCGGAAGCAUUGCAACGAGACUAUUGA